GAUGAACGCUAGCUACAGGCUUAACACAUGCAAGUCGAGGGGCAGCAUGACGAUAGCUUGCUAUUGUUGAUGGCGACCGGCGCACGGGUGAGUAACGCGUAUCCAACCUUCCCAUAGCUAGGGAAUAACCUUGCGAAAGUAAGACUAAUGCCCUAUAAUAUUCUUUGCAGACAUCUAAAGAGAAUUAAAGAUUUAUCGGCUAUGGAUGGGGAUGCGUCUGAUUAGGUUGUUGGCGGGGUAACGGCCCACCAAGCCCACGAUCAGUAGGGGUUCUGAGAGGAAGGUCCCCCACAUUGGAACUGAGACACGGUCCAA
Molecule: ribosomal RNA, 315 nt
Filed under: uncultured bacterium
Lineage: Bacteria
Description: bacterial SSU rRNA
Rfam family: Bacterial small subunit ribosomal RNA
Source: RNAcentral